CCUACGGGUGGCAGCAGUGGGGGAUAUUGCACAAUGGGGGAAACCCUGAUGCAGCGACGCCGCGUGUGGGAAGACGGUCCUCUGGAUUGUAAACCACUGUCCCCAGGGACGAAGAUGACGGUACCUGGGGAGGAAGCUCCGGCUAACUACGUGCCAGCAGCCGCGGUAAUACGUAGGGAGCGAGCGUUGUCCGGAAUUACUGGGUGUAAGGGGAGCGUAGGCGGGACUGCAAGUUGGGUGUCAAAUCUACCGGCUCAACCGGUAGCCGCACUCAAAACUGCAGUUCUUGAGUGAAGUAGAGGCAGGCGGAAUUCGUAGUGUAGCGGUGAAAUGCGUAGAUAUUAGGAGGAACACCGAUGGCGAAGGCAGCCUGCUGGGCUUUUACUGACGCUGAGGCUCGAAAGUGUGGGGAGCGAACAGGAUUAGAUACCCGGGUAGUC
RNAcentral lists this ribosomal RNA (440 nucleotides) under uncultured bacterium. RNAcentral's name for it is "partial 16S ribosomal RNA". It matches the Rfam family "Bacterial small subunit ribosomal RNA", at positions 338 to 795 of the family's 1533-position model. The record is from RNAcentral.